Molecule: ribosomal RNA, 469 nt
Filed under: uncultured bacterium
Lineage: Bacteria
Description: partial 16S ribosomal RNA
Rfam family: Bacterial small subunit ribosomal RNA
Source: RNAcentral
GACGAACGCUGGCGGCGUGCUUAACACAUGCAAGUCGAACGGAAGGGCCCUGCUUGCAGGGUGCUCGAGUGGCGAACGGGUGAGUAACACGUGGGUGAUCUGCCCCUUACUUUGGGAUAAGCCUGGGAAACUGGGUCUAAUACUGGAUAGGACCAUGCUGUAGGUGGUGUGUUGGAAAGAUUAGUUUCGGUAAGGGAUGAGCUCGCGGCCUAUCAGCUUGUUGGUUGGGUAAUGGCCUACCAAGGCGUCGACGGGUAGCCGGCCUGAGAGGGUGGACGGCAACAUUGGGACUGAGAUACGGCCCAGACUCCUACGGGAGGCAGCAGUGGGGAAUAUUGCACAAUGGGCGCAAGCCUGAUGCAGCGACGCCGCGUGGGGGAUGACGGCCUUCGGGUUGUAAACUCCUUUCAGCCAUGACGAAGCCCUUGUGGUGACGGUAGUGGUAGAAGAAGCACCGGCUAACUACGUG